Molecule: transfer RNA, 73 nt
Filed under: Trichonephila inaurata madagascariensis
Lineage: Eukaryota; Metazoa; Arthropoda; Arachnida; Araneae; Nephilidae
Description: tRNA-Tyr
Rfam family: tRNA
About the family: Transfer RNA (tRNA) molecules are approximately 80 nucleotides in length. Their secondary structure includes four short double-helical elements and three loops (D, anti-codon, and T loops). Further hydrogen bonds mediate the characteristic L-shaped molecular structure. tRNAs have two regions of fundamental functional importance: the anti-codon, which is responsible for specific mRNA codon recognition, and the 3' end, to which the tRNAs corresponding amino acid is attached (by aminoacyl-tRNA synthetases). tRNAs cope with the degeneracy of the genetic code in two manners: having more than one tRNA (with a specific anti-codon) for a particular amino acid; and 'wobble' base-pairing, i.e. permitting non-standard base-pairing at the 3rd anti-codon position.
Source: RNAcentral
GGGGUGUAUAGCUCAGUGGUAGAGCAUUUGACUGUAUAUCGAGAUGUCUCCGGUUUAAACCCGGGUGCCCCUU